AACCUUUGUGAUGUUUGUGUAGUUUUUCUUUGUGUUUGGCUGAACAACAUGAGUCAGUGCUGAUGGAGUUUCAGAGCUGAAGUCAUUAUUGAAGCAGCAGCUCGUUGUCUUUAAUAUUACUGAGAGCUCUUUUUCACUUUGUGUAUUUUACAGCUUUUAACCUGCAUCCUGUUGGCUUCAGCUGUUUGGAGUUUACAUUUUCUAAACUUGUUCUUUCUAAACCUUCUUCAGCUCUCAACACAUUAUUAAACACUGAAUGAUUUCCAGCAGGAACAUUGUCUUCUACAGUUACAUCUGUGAUUCUUUAUUCAGGUUGAGUUUCUGCAGUUGUCAGAGAUCAGCUGUGCUUCUCUGGUCUCAGCUCUGAAGUCCAACCCCUCCCAUCUGACAGAGCUGGACCUGAACUACAACGAGCUGCAGGAUUCAGGAGUGAAGCAGCUGUCUGAUCUUGUGGAGAGUCCAGACUGCAGACUGGAGACUCUGAGAUGGUUUUGAUCUCUAUCAGAGUGAUCAGAGAGCUGCUCUGUCCUUCAACACACGGAGACCUCCACGUCCUCUGCUCCUCCAGGACCUGCAUUCAGUCUCUUCUGUUUUUAUGUUCAGAUGAAGUCAGAGUGACUCUGCAGAUUAAUGUCAGCAUAACUGAAAUUACAGUCACUGAGCUGCACUCAGGUUAUGUUCCUGUUAAUCUCUCUUUCUUUGAGUCUCUCUGCUGUGAAAAGACGGAGAACUGCCGUUAACUUGUUUACACUGUAACUUGUACGGCCGAACGAU
Plectropomus leopardus (leopard coralgrouper) is the source of this 774-nucleotide non-coding RNA. NCBI's taxonomy places the organism in Eukaryota, Metazoa, Chordata, Actinopteri, Perciformes, Serranidae. The record is from RefSeq and is a predicted model, not a curated record.